This 28-nucleotide non-coding RNA is filed under the name Mus musculus (house mouse). The record is from RNAcentral. Lineage: Eukaryota; Metazoa; Chordata; Mammalia; Rodentia; Muridae.
UAAAAAGUCUGAGAAAGAAAUUGCAGGA